CCUUUUUUCCUUUUCUUUUUUCCCUUUUCCUUUUUUUCCUUCCUGGCCGAACUCCCCUAUGCCCCUUUCCCCUUUGCACGAUCUCUCUUCCCCUCCUUUUGGUCCCACAGCACCCACCUCCCCCUCUCCAAGCCGUGACCAACCACCUCUCCACCUACCUCUCUAUUCUCUUUUUAUAGGAGAUGGAUAACUAGAUUCAUCUCUAGCUCUCCCCUAUAAAUACCCCCACAGCCUUGUCUCUUUUCCCCCGUCC
RNAcentral lists this long non-coding RNA (253 nucleotides) under Oryza brachyantha (malo sina). RNAcentral describes it as "long non-coding RNA (OBRA_LNC001790)". Lineage: Eukaryota; Viridiplantae; Streptophyta; Magnoliopsida; Poales; Poaceae. The record is from RNAcentral.